AUACGGAGGGUGCGAGCGUUAAUCGGAAUUACUGGGCGUAAAGCGCGCGUAGGCGGCUUUGUAAGUCGGAUGUGAAAGCCCUGGGCUCAACCUGGGAAUUGCACUCGAUACUGCAGAGCUAGAGUAUGGUAGAGGGAAGUGGAAUUUCCGGUGUAGCGGUGAAAUGCGUAGAUAUCGGAAGGAACACCAGUGGCGAAGGCGACUUCCUGGGCCAAUACUGACGCUGAGGUGCGAAAGCGUGGGGAGCAAACAGGAGUAGAAACCAGAGUAGUCC
RNAcentral lists this ribosomal RNA (274 nucleotides) under uncultured bacterium. RNAcentral's name for it is "partial 16S ribosomal RNA". It matches the Rfam family "Bacterial small subunit ribosomal RNA", at positions 523 to 796 of the family's 1533-position model. The record is from RNAcentral.